CGGCGGGAAUUCCCGCACCUGCUCUCGAACGCGCACAGGGCCAAUCAUCAGAGGGAAAAGAUGUGCUGGCGGCUACCUCAGGAGUCAACCGCGACUGAGACAUGAAAGCCGCCAAUUUGGAUUCCACAGAUGAGUCAAAUCCGAGGAGACCAAAAGAAAAAAAAAAAAAAAAAAAAAGUCC
Hippocampus comes (tiger tail seahorse) is the source of this 181-nucleotide long non-coding RNA. RefSeq lists it as uncharacterized. The record is from RefSeq and is a predicted model, not a curated record. The transcript is spliced from 2 exons. Lineage: Eukaryota; Metazoa; Chordata; Actinopteri; Syngnathiformes; Syngnathidae.